Molecule: long non-coding RNA, 1350 nt
Organism: Apus apus (common swift)
Lineage: Eukaryota; Metazoa; Chordata; Aves; Apodiformes; Apodidae
Exons: 4
Source: RefSeq, a predicted model, not a curated record
GGCCUGGCGGCCGCCGGGCUGGUGCUGUGCGCCUUGGAACUGGACACGUCCUUAACCUCGUUUGGUCACGUUUAGAAGCGGCAGCUCGGUGAGGUGCGUCAGACGCCGAUGGGAACAUACCAGGCUCCUCGGUGGAGUGUGAAUCAGGAAUAACACCAAUUAAAUCAGUGGAGUUGCAGCAGGUCACACUGGAAUCAGACACGUUAUGGUUUCUGAAAAUGUUGAAUUGUUUUGUUGAAAUUCACUGUGUACAUGUGAGAUUCUCAAAAGUGAUGGAGGGAGUCCCAGGAAAGAAUUUUCAUUACAGUAUUUUAAGAACACAGAGAAGGAAAAAAAAACAUGAACAACUCUAUGGUUUCAAGAGACAAAAUACAAGGCUGCUAAUAUGAAAAAUAAUUUGAAAAUGGUUUGAAAUGAAGAAAGAACUUCAGAUUCUUCUCAUGUGCCAUCACUUCCUUUGUUGUUCCCUCUACUGUGACCUCAGAUGCCUGCCGACUGGUACAAUGUACAAGUACUUGAUGGGAGAACUCCGCAGCUUGUAAUCUGCAUCAUCUUUGGAGUACAAGGAGCAAAUGCUAGAAGAACUUUUACUUUGGUGGCACUUAAGCUGUGUCUUGCUGCAUAUGCUGGUCUUUACAAUAUUUACCAGUGGUGCACUUAGUUGAAACACCAAGUCAUCAUUUGUGCUUGGAUUACAACAAAGCUUAAAGCUGUCUGGGUAUUACUAAUAGAAGGCAUAAAAUAAAGCCCAGAAGAUACAUUCAAAACAGAACCUCCUUGGGCAACUGUGUUUGGAGCUACUUUUGCCAGAUGAGCUGGAAUUGUUUUAAUUGCAGUUCUUAUAACUAUCAUUGUAAUUAGCUACUGCUUCUCCUGCAGAAAAGGAAAACAUGCUGGCCAUUUAAAUAGCUGAAAUAAAAAGGCCAGAAAAACUAUUAUUAUUCAUGGACAGCAAAUGAGUUUGCAUCUUCUGCUACUUCUGAUAAUAGCUGUUGGAAGACACCCUGAUAAAACUGUUUUACAUCUAGUAGCCUUUCUUGUUGUUUGCACUGUGAUUUAACCCUGUUCAUGGUCAGAGAAACAAAAGGCUGCACACCAAGCUGUUCAAGGUGGUGCUCUUACUACAUGGCAAACAGUAACAACAUUGCAGCUAUUUGUAUGACUGAUCCUAGAUGUAAAACUCUAGCUUUUCCAUCUUCUAAGAAAGUGUGAUCAUCAAUACUGUAAUAUAAAGAAGAAAGCCUUGGAUACUCCUGCACAAAGUGUUUUUAUGACACUUUAUGACACAGCUGGAAAUUAAAGAAAGUUAAACUGUUUGACUUCAACAAUUUUCAUAUCCUUGCUAUUAUG